Ruditapes philippinarum (Manila clam) is the source of this 1089-nucleotide long non-coding RNA. RefSeq lists it as uncharacterized. The record is from RefSeq and is a predicted model, not a curated record. Lineage: Eukaryota; Metazoa; Mollusca; Bivalvia; Venerida; Veneridae. The transcript is spliced from 3 exons.
UAGCUUUUUCUCAUCUUGACGGAAGCGACACUGCUGUGAAGUGAUAUAAACCAGAUUCCUUAAAAUGGCGGUGUUUAUUUGGCUUGUCAUACUCCUUUCUUUCCUGUCACUUUCAAAUGCACAGCUAGAGAAAUAUUGCUGGGCCGGCUUUCAAAAACAGGAAUGUGUGGAUAACACACUCUUACAAGGGCGAGAGGGACUAAUGGUAAGCUACUUUCUCAGCAUUCCAUUUUCUCGGAUUUGCUGCGAAGCCCUAAGUUGUACCCAGGAGACAGGGAGGUGUGAGUUCCAAUACGCUGGGUGCCAUGAUAAUAGCACAGCAAAUAUCCAGACUCGACCAAGACUUUGGGAACUCCAAAACAUACCUCCAGUGAUGCGGUGUACCGAUGUGCAAGGCAAGGGUGCAUUUUAUAAGUUUUGGACUCAGAUUGUGCAGAAAGAAACCCUUUUGUAAUUAAGAAACACUCAUUAAAAGACGUUUUGAUUUUCGGAAAAAAUGUUAUGAAGUUAACAAUAAAAUGCAUUUAAGAUGAAUGUGAUAAUAGAUAAAACGCAUGAAUAUUCAUUAACUAAAACAAACAAUAACCUUAUAUAAAAUUUCACGUUUGCGUAAUGUCCGCUCUUUUCUUUUUAGAUAUGUUUACAAUCGAAUAUUUAUUAAUAAAAAUCAUACCGACUUUUUAACAAUUUCAAUUUGAUCGUGUCGGACGACCUCCGAGGUGUAAUAUUUUUUUCCAAUUUUAUAAGAUCAGCCAGCUGGGUAAAACAAUCAUUACACCGUUCUUUCUUUAUAUGUGUACGAAACAAUGAUAUAACACUGGCUGGGGCAACUUCGGGAGAUGUUAAUGUCAAGGCCGUUGGGUCGGGACGACAUUUUGUUUUUGCAGAAACAUCCCGAGAUGUCCCCCAGCCAGUGUAACCUUGCGUAACUAACGAGUUAUAUAUAUUAUAACUGUUUUAUCGUAAUUUCAUAAUUUUUAACAGAAAUCAGCAAAAAAUACUGUGUUCAGUGAUUUUCCUUUUCUUGUGCCCUUUCUCUUUGUUUCAAAUCAAAUCCCUUGCAAAAAUAUAUCAAUAUCAGCUGAUAAA